AUGGGUGCUAUGGGGCGGGCGCUGCUGUGGGGUGGGCGCUGUAGGGUAGGUGCUAUGGGGUGGGUGCUGCUGUGGGGCCGGUGCCGCUUCCCAGCCCUCGCUGCCCCAUAGCGCCGUGGGGCUGAGGGGGGGUCGGCGUCCCUGGGGCGCUGUGUGGGGUGGGGGAAGUUGUGGGGCUGCGCUGUGUGCUGUGGGGCUGCCGUGCCUACAGGGUGUGUUGUACCCUAUAGGGCUGCUGUGCCCUAUGGGGCUGGUAGACCCUAUAGGGCUGUGUUGUAUCCUAUGGGGCCGUUAUGUCCUAUAAAGCUGUUGUACCCCAUAGGGCUGUUGUAUCCUAUAUGGCUGUUAAAUCCUAUAGGGCUGCUGUACAUUAUAAAGCUGUGUUGUAUCCUAUAGGGCCGUUAUGUCCUAUAAAGCUGUUGUACCCUAUAGGGCUGUUAUGCCCUAUAGAACUGCUGCACCCUAUGGGGCCGCGCGCUUUGGGGCCGUGCCACCCCCUGUGGGGCCGCUCUGUGCCCUAUGGGGCUGUGCCAAAAUCAGUGGGGCUGUGCUCUAUAGGGCCGCACUGCCGCGUAUGGGGCCGUGUCAACAUAUGGGGCUGCAUGUUAUGGGGCCGUGUCAUACUCUAUGGGGCAGUGUGCUAUGGGGCCGUGCAAACCCUAUAGGGUGGUGCCGCACCCUAUGGGCAGUGCUGUCGUUAUGGGGCAACAUCACACCCUAUGGGGCUGUGCCAUCUCUGUAGGGCCAUGCUGUCCCUAUGGGGCCGUACCACACCCUAUGGGGCCGUGCUGUCGCUAUAGGGCCGUGCUUUCUCUAUGGGGCCGUGCUGUUGCUAUGGGGCUAUGCUGCACAAUAUAUGGCCGUGCUGUCGCUAUGGGGCAGUGCUUUCUCUUUGGGGCCGUGCCGCACCCUAUAGGGCUGUGCUGUCGCUAUGGGGCCGUGUUGUCCCUAUAGGGCCGUGUUGUCCCUAUAGGGCUGUGCUGUCGCUAUGGGGCCGUGCUGUCGCUAUGGGGCCGUGCCGCACCCUAUGGGGCCGCGGUGCGGAGGCGGCCGUGGGGCUGCGGUCGCUCCGCCCCAUAGCGCGGGCAGCGCCACGUGGCCCCAAUGGCCCCAGUGCCCCCCCAUCCCUGUGCCCUCAUCCCAGUUCCUCCCAGUGCCCCCCCAUCCCGCUGCCCCCCCCAUCCCAGUGCCGCCCCGCCCCAUUUUUCCUCCCAAUUCCCAGUGCCCCCCCAUCCC
This 1236-nucleotide long non-coding RNA is filed under the name Phasianus colchicus (ring-necked pheasant). RNAcentral's name for it is "lncRNA (ENSPCLG00000018792.1)". The record is from RNAcentral. Lineage: Eukaryota; Metazoa; Chordata; Aves; Galliformes; Phasianidae.